RNAcentral lists this ribosomal RNA (329 nucleotides) under uncultured eukaryote. RNAcentral describes it as "partial 18S ribosomal RNA". It matches the Rfam family "Eukaryotic small subunit ribosomal RNA", at positions 1470 to 1796 of the family's 1831-position model. The record is from RNAcentral.
CCCUUAGAUGUUCUGGGCCGCACGCGCGCUACACUGACGAUGGCAACGAGUUUUUCCUUCGCCGAAAGGUGUGGGUAAUCUUUUGAAACAUCGUCGUGCUGGGGAUAGAUCCUUGCAAUUUUUGAUCUUGAACGAGGAAUUCCUAGUAAGCGCGAGUCAUCAGCUCGCGUUGAUUACGUCCCUGCCCUUUGUACACACCGCCCGUCGCUACUACCGAUUGAAUGGUUUAGUGAGGACUCCUGAUUGGCGCCGCCGCCCCGGCAACGGAGCAGCGGACUGCCGAAAAGUUGUUCAAACUUGAUCAUUUAGAGGAAGUAAAAGUCGUAACA